UGGGCGAGAGACCGAUAGCAAACAAGUACCGCGAGGGAAAGAUGAAAAGGACUUUGAAAAGAGAGUCAAAGAGUGCUUGAAAUUGUCGGGAGGGAAGCGAAUGGGGGCCGGCGAUGCGCCUCGGUCGGAUGUGGAACGGUUAACGCCGGUCCGCCAAUCGACUCGGGGCGUGGAUCGGUGCGGAUUGGGACGGAGGCCAAAGCCCAGGAAGUCGUUAAGCCUGCGGAGACGCCUUCGCCCCGAUCGUGGCUGGCAGCGNGCGCCAUUUCGGCGUGCUUCGGCAUCUGCGCGCUCCCGG
RNAcentral lists this ribosomal RNA (298 nucleotides) under Arctostaphylos hookeri. Its description in RNAcentral is "partial 28S ribosomal RNA". It matches the Rfam family "Eukaryotic large subunit ribosomal RNA", at positions 323 to 622 of the family's 3401-position model. The record is from RNAcentral. Lineage: Eukaryota; Viridiplantae; Streptophyta; Magnoliopsida; Ericales; Ericaceae.